UUCUACUCCCUCAGCAGAUGAUUACAGUUCUGGCAAUGCACCGAGCAUUGCUGUAGGCGUUGAGAUCCGUGGAUAAGACAGAAGAUCCCUGCCUCUGCCUGGCCUAAGCAGGGCAACAGAGAACAACGGACACAAUGCAUAAGUCAGUAACAAAGUGAAGUGAGAGAGGCCAUUGCACUCAUCUUAAAGAGGAGGAAACUGGAGUUCCCAUCCUGGCUCAGUGUU
RNAcentral lists this long non-coding RNA (225 nucleotides) under Sus scrofa (pig). Its description in RNAcentral is "lncRNA (ENSSSCG00055027792.1)". The record is from RNAcentral. Lineage: Eukaryota; Metazoa; Chordata; Mammalia; Artiodactyla; Suidae.